RNAcentral lists this long non-coding RNA (243 nucleotides) under Elaeis guineensis (African oil palm). RNAcentral's name for it is "long non-coding RNA (EGUI_LNC037035)". Lineage: Eukaryota; Viridiplantae; Streptophyta; Magnoliopsida; Arecales; Arecaceae. The record is from RNAcentral.
GUUGAACGACUAUUAUGCCGACCUAGUCUUAACUAAGCAGAAUACUAUGCCAAUAUGAUCCAGGUCGAAUUGAAAUUAUACCAACUCGACUAUGGUCGGUCGAAGGAUAUUUGACUUGCCACCGAUUAUCAAAUAACCUGAUGUACUAAACCCGACUAAAGUUGAACGAAGGAUAUUCGAUUUAUUAUCACUUAUCCUAAUACUUAAGUACGUCAAUGGAUGUUUGACUAACGAAAGAAUUCU